Molecule: long non-coding RNA, 1659 nt
Organism: Dermacentor albipictus
Lineage: Eukaryota; Metazoa; Arthropoda; Arachnida; Ixodida; Ixodidae
Source: RefSeq, a predicted model, not a curated record
UCAUGCAGAAAAGCAAGAAAAGCAUUCGCAGAAAGCAGGAGCUGCAGAAAGUUAUAGAGAAAAGAGCAAAAGACUUCUGCAACUUCCGCAUCCGGUAGCUUGCUCGUCCAAAUGGCGGACAACGACGCCGCUGCAGCGAAGUCACGGGAAAGACGCAUACAAGAACUGAAAGUCUUGGAGCAUGAAAUUAACUGCCUCAAGAGAAAUGCUUGCGUAUACAAGCAGCAGCCAAACAGCAACAUUUUCUUCAAGUCCACACGGGCAGAUGUUGAACAAGAUACAAAGAGAAACUUGGAUGCGUUGCAAGCCUGCCAGAAUAGUGAACCAUCCAAGACCACCACAGAUUGACACAUCUUUGACUUUUAGACUUGUUGACGUGUUCUGCCUAUAAAAAGAAACAAGACACUAUUAUUAAUUCAAGAAGUGUUUUGUCAUUAACAAUGUGUGCAAUGCAAGCAUGUGACCUAGCAAAAAAAGAUGUGCUGUCACGCCUUAUUGGUGGCAAACGCAAGUGAAAUUUUAAUCAAGAAAGUCUGCCUCUAUAAACCCUGUAUUUUGCAAUAGCAAAGCAUGCCACUAAAAAGUGUGCCUCCUUGACAUACAACAGAACCUGCUGAUUCAGAAGUGCAAGGCUUUAAGUGGCUACUGUUAGAAGCUGUACCAAUUGGCCUCAAGGGGCAUCCUUAUUUUUUAAUUUGGUCAGUCAACGUUUCAUGUCACGAAUUACUGUUGUGUGUAAUGCUGCAUAAGCUCAAAGUAUGGAUCAUUGUGAAAGGCAGUGUGGAUGACUUUGGCCCUUGUGUUGUGGUUUGGCUACCAACUGUCGUCAUGGGCAGAAGCAUAUAGUAUCCAGCAUUGUAGUGUACUAUACCACCACUGAAUAUGUGUUUAACAUAGGUGGGAAACCUCCCAUGCAUCAAGGUAAAGUGUGUUGCAGUGUCGAGGUAAGGUGUUGCAGUUAACAUUCAAAGAUGCACAAUGUAUUAUUGUAUCAAAUUUCCAAGAUUGAACCGUAUCUUGUUCAUACAAGAUUUGUCUCAUUGUGCAUGCGCUUGACACAUGUAGCUUUGUAUCAUAAUCUUGUCAAUGUAACAGCAAAGUGAACAAUUUAAAUAUUGUUUAGCUGACUUGUUCAUAGAGCAUAUUUGAAGCAGAGUUUGUAAUUAAUUACUGAGUCUCUAAAUUCUCACCGCGAACUUUCAAGCAACAACAUUGAACAUAAAUACUACCAUAGACCAGGCACUGCCAUGCAGUGAAAAAAAAUCAUUGUAAAGAAAAUUACAGAUGGCUACUUGCAAAAGGAAAAGGCAAUUCAUAUAAAAGCAUUCCAAGUACAUGCAUCUUGUGUCCUCUAACGAAAGAGAACAGCUGAAUAGUGUCAAAGAGCAUACAGAAUAAGGCUCAAUUGUCCCCGUUGAAGUGAGGUGGGAGGAGCUGUGAUUGGACUAAUUGAACAGUGCUGAGCCACUACUCCAAAACAAUUGCCAUCACAAUUAACAGAUUUGUAUUACACAUGCCUCAAUGUCCAGAGGCAUGUGUACAGGCCACUCUUUUAUUUAGCAGCUGCCCUAUCCUCUUUUACGUGACUUAGUUGUCUUUUUGAUGCAUUAGCUCUACCAGCAACAUGUUCUAAUAAAAAAUAUUGAUACUCGUUUUGUA